AGGGAUCAUUACCGAGUGAGGGCCCCCGGCCCGACCUCCAACCCUUUGUUGUACCACCUGUUGCCUCGGGGGCGACCCGGCCUCCGCGCCGGGGUCCCCGGUGGACCGCUCCAACUCUGUGUCUGUACGUCGGAGUGAUUAGUGAAUCAAUCAAAACUUUCAACAACGGAUCUCUUGGUUCUG
This 183-nucleotide unclassified non-coding RNA is filed under the name uncultured fungus. RNAcentral's name for it is "partial contains 18S rRNA, ITS1, 5.8S rRNA, ITS2 and 28S rRNA". The record is from RNAcentral. Lineage: Eukaryota; Fungi.